RNAcentral lists this ribosomal RNA (1355 nucleotides) under Micrococcus endophyticus. Its description in RNAcentral is "bacterial SSU rRNA". It matches the Rfam family "Bacterial small subunit ribosomal RNA", at positions 72 to 1435 of the family's 1533-position model. The record is from RNAcentral. Lineage: Bacteria; Bacillati; Actinomycetota; Actinomycetes; Micrococcales; Micrococcaceae.
AGCCCAGCUUGCUGGGUGGAUUAGUGGCGAACGGGUGAGUAACACGUGAGUAACCUGCCCUUGACUCUGGGAUAAGCCUGGGAAACUGGGUCUAAUACCGGAUAGGAACGUCCACCGCAUGGUGGUUGUUGGAAAGAUUUAUCGGUCAUGGAUGGACUCGCGGCCUAUCAGCUUGUUGGUGAGGUAAUGGCUCACCAAGGCGACGACGGGUAGCCGGCCUGAGAGGGUGACCGGCCACACUGGGACUGAGACACGGCCCAGACUCCUACGGGAGGCAGCAGUGGGGAAUAUUGCACAAUGGGCGAAAGCCUGAUGCAGCGACGCCGCGUGAGGGAUGACGGCCUUCGGGUUGUAAACCUCUUUCAGUAGGGAAGAAGCGAAAGUGACGGUACCUGCAGAAGAAGCACCGGGCUAACUACGUGCCAGCAGCCGCGGUAAUACGUAGGGUGCGAGCGUUAUCCGGGAAUUAUUGGGCGUAAAGAGCUCGUAGGCGGUUUGUCGCGUCUGUCGUGAAAGUCCGGGGCUUAACCCCGGAUCUGCGGUGGGUACGGGCAGACUAGAGUGCAGUAGGGGAGACUGGAAUUCCUGGUGUAGCGGUGGAAUGCGCAGAUAUCAGGAGGAACACCGAUGGCGAAGGCAGGUCUCUGGGCUGUAACUGACGCUGAGGAGCGAAAGCAUGGGGAGCGAACAGGAUUAGAUACCCUGGUAGUCCAUGCCGUAAACGUUGGGCACUAGGUGUGGGGACCAUUCCACGGUUUCCGCGCCGCAGCUAACGCAUUAAGUGCCCCGCCUGGGGAGUACGGCCGCAAGGCUAAAACUCAAAGGAAUUGACGGGGGCCCGCACAAGCGGCGGAGCAUGCGGAUUAAUUUCGAUGCAACGCGAAGAACCUUACCAAGGCUUGACAUGUUCUCGAUCGCCGUAGAGAUACGGUUUCCCCUUUGGGGCGGGAUCACAGGUGGUGCAUGGUUGUCGUCAGCUCGUGUCGUGAGAUGUUGGGUUAAGUCCCGCAACGAGCGCAACCCUCGUUCCAUGUUGCCAGCACGUAAUGGUGGGGACUCAUGGGAGACUGCCGGGGUCAACUCGGAGGAAGGUGGGGACGACGUCAAAUCAUCAUGCCCCUUAUGUCUUGGGCUUCACGCAUGCUACAAUGGCCGGUACAAUGGGUUGCGAUACUGUGAGGUGGAGCUAAUCCCAAAAAGCCGGUCUCAGUUCGGAUUGGGGUCUGCAACUCGACCCCAUGAAGUCGGAGUCGCUAGUAAUCGCAGAUCAGCAACGCUGCGGUGAAUACGUUCCCGGGCCUUGUACACACCGCCCGUCAAGUCACGAAAGUCGGUAACACCCGAAGCCGGUGGCC